This 439-nucleotide ribosomal RNA is filed under the name Antiaris toxicaria (upas tree). RNAcentral's name for it is "eukaryotic LSU rRNA". The stretch from base 299 to 439 matches the Rfam family "Eukaryotic large subunit ribosomal RNA", at positions 1 to 141 of the family's 3401-position model. The record is from RNAcentral. Lineage: Eukaryota; Viridiplantae; Streptophyta; Magnoliopsida; Rosales; Moraceae.
UGCAGAAUCCCGUGAACCAUCGAGUCUUUGAACGCAAGUUGCGCCCAAAGCCGUCGGGCCGAGGGCACGUCUGCCUGGGCGUCACACACCGUCGCCCCCCCCACCUGGGACCCGAGUGGGGGGCGCGGACGAUGACCUCCCGUCGUCUCUUCGCUUGGCGGUUGGUCUAAAUUCGAGUCCUUGGUCGCUCCGUCGUGGCAACAGGUCGUCGAUCGCUCGGUGCCGCCGUCACGUGCGUUGGACUUGCAUCGGGACUCGGAGAGAGACCCCAAUGCACCCGUCGGAGGUGCUCCCGGCGCGACCCCAGGUCAGGCGGGGCUACCCGCUGAGUUUAAGCAUAUCAAUAAGCGGAGGAAAAGAAACUUACGAGGAUUCCCCUAGUAACGGCGAGCGAACCGGGAAGAGCCCAGUUUGAGAAUCGGGCGCCCGAGGCGUUCGA